AGUAGCCACGGGAAUACAGAGGGUGCGAGCGUUAAUCGGAUUUACUGGGCGUAAAGCGUGCGUAGGCGGCUUCUUAAGUCGGAUGUGAAAUCCCUGAGCUUAACUUAGGAAUUGCAUUCGAUACUGGGAAGCUAGAGUAUGGGAGAGGAUGGUAGAAUUCCAGGUGUAGCGGUGAAAUGCGUAGAGAUCUGGAGGAAUACCGAUGGCGAAGGCAGCCAUCUGGCCUAAUACUGACGCUGAGGUACGAAAGCAUGGGGAGCAAACAGGAUUAGAUACCCCUGUAGUCCCUGUCUCUUAUACA
This 301-nucleotide ribosomal RNA is filed under the name uncultured bacterium. Its description in RNAcentral is "partial 16S ribosomal RNA". It matches the Rfam family "Bacterial small subunit ribosomal RNA", at positions 510 to 808 of the family's 1533-position model. The record is from RNAcentral.